GGGGAUUUAGCUCAGUUGGUAGAGCGUUCGCUUAGCAUCUCAGAGGAUCUCUUGCGAAAGGUCGCGUGUUCGACUCAUGCAGUCUCCA
RNAcentral lists this transfer RNA (88 nucleotides) under Violaceomyces palustris. RNAcentral's name for it is "tRNA-Ala". It matches the Rfam family "tRNA". Rfam says of the family: Transfer RNA (tRNA) molecules are approximately 80 nucleotides in length. Their secondary structure includes four short double-helical elements and three loops (D, anti-codon, and T loops). The record is from RNAcentral. Lineage: Eukaryota; Fungi; Basidiomycota; Ustilaginomycetes; Violaceomycetales; Violaceomycetaceae.